CCUACGGGCGACAGCAGUGAGGAAUAUUGGUCAAUGGUCGGGAGACUGAACCAGCCAAGCCGCGUGAGGGAUGAAGGUACAGAGUAUCGUAAACCUCUUUUGUCAGGGAACAAAGGCGGGGACGUGUCCCCGGAUGAGUGUACCUGAAGAAAAAGCAUCGCCUAACUCCGUGCCAGCAGCCGCGGUAAUACGGAGGAUGCGAGCGUUAUCCGGAUUUAUGGGGGUUAAAGGGUGCGCAGGCGGUCUGUUAAGUCAGCGGUCAAAGCCCGGGGCUCAACCCCGGCCCGCCGUUGAAACUGGCAGUCUCGAGUUGGAGAGAAGUAUGCGGAAUGCGCGGUGUAGCGGUGAAAUGCAUAGAUAUCGCGCAGAACUCCGAUUGCGAAGGCAGCAUGCCGGCUCCACACUGACGCUGAGGCACGAAAGCGUGGGUAUCGAACAGGAUUAGAUACCCUUGUAGUC
RNAcentral lists this ribosomal RNA (459 nucleotides) under uncultured bacterium. RNAcentral's name for it is "partial 16S ribosomal RNA". It matches the Rfam family "Bacterial small subunit ribosomal RNA", at positions 338 to 795 of the family's 1533-position model. The record is from RNAcentral.